RNAcentral lists this ribosomal RNA (405 nucleotides) under uncultured bacterium. RNAcentral describes it as "partial 16S ribosomal RNA". It matches the Rfam family "Bacterial small subunit ribosomal RNA", at positions 30 to 526 of the family's 1533-position model. The record is from RNAcentral.
AUUGAACGCUGGCGGCAGGCUUAACACAUGCAAGUCGAACGAGUGGCGGACGGGUGAGUAAUGCAUGGGAAUCUAGCUACUGGAGGGGGAUAACUACGGGAAACUGUAGCUAAUACCGCGUACCAUAGGAUGAGCCCAAGUGGGAUUAGGUAGUUGGUGGGGUAAAGGCUCACCAAGCCGACGAUCCCUAGCUGGUCUGAGAGGAUGACCAGCCAAUCUGGGACUGAGACACGGCCCAGACUCCUACGGGAGGAAGCAGUGGGGAAGAUUGCGCAAUGGGGGAAACCUGAGGCAGCCAUGCCGCGUGAAUGAAGAAGGCCUUCGGGUUGUAAAGUUCUUUCGGUAGAGAGGCGUUAACUACAGAAGAAGCACCGGCUAACUACGUGCCAGCCGCCGCGGUAAUAC